UUGAUGUCACUCUAAAAACAUUUCGUUCGAAGCGCGUCGCAUAAUGCCAACUAAUGUUCCACAUACGUAAUAUCGAUCGAUCGUAUCUGACCGUCUAGCUCUGACCUCGAUGCUUAACUUUAUUCAGCAUUGAUUAUUUUUGUCUCUUCGGAAGAAUAGUAAAACCGCAUAAUUAUGCGUAGUGCAACCAUAAGUACUGGUUAACGACCGUAAAAUCAUAUAACUUCCGGGCAUAAUGCUAAAACGUAAUGUUUAUUUGUAACUCGACACGUGAAAGGAUGUCAAACAAAUCAUUUAUGAUCGGCGAUUGAUUUAUGAUUAUCGAACUUUGAGACAAAUAAUGCUCCUUCGACAGAACUCCUCCGUUUUUCUCAUUAUCUCCAAGCCAAUCGAAAUAUAAUUAUUGCUGGAAAAAAUAUUUUUGUUCCUAUGUCUCAUCUUUAACGCAAUCAUGUUUUAAAAAUGAUUUCAACUAUCGAAGAAAUAAGGAACACGUGACUUUUGAUAAUUCGAAGUUAGCAAGUGAUCGAUGGAAGAAUGUUUAAAUCGUAUCCUUUUCUUUCUCGAAAAGUUUCAACGUAGUAGAAAGUUCGUAAUUCUUAAGGGUAAGCAGUAACUCGUAAGCUCACACGUUUCUCCAGAGGGUGGACAGGUGCGCGCUUCAGUCGGCCGUCUGACCUCUAACCGAUAACGUGCGUUAAAAUAUGCUCAAGUGAAACGUUCUUUUACCGCUCGAAGAAAAAAAACCUUAUAGAAUUAAAUAACAUUUUCGAGCCUACUAUGAGAAGAUACGAAUUCAAGAGAUUCUAUUUUUUUCGCAUGACUCACUCGUUAUUUUUCACACGUUCUUCUGUCACAAACAAUUUUCCAAAUUUAUGAACUUUAGUUAAUUAAAGGAAAAACCUUAGAAAAGUGGAGAAAGAGAGUAAAAAGGAAAGAAAAAGUACGUUUUCUAUGAUACUCGAGCUGAAAGAUUUCUUUGAUCUUACUAUCGUACAACUUUACUUUAUUAAUUUGUUUAACGUAUUACGAAUUAAUAAAUUAGUAAGAUGACGCAGUACAGUAGCAGUGGAAGUAGCAGUAGCACAAGUAGCAAUGGCCAUCGUGAUUUUAAAGAUCGAUCAUCGAAAGCGAUCGAAGAAAAAUUAAGGGUCGCUGUACGUAUAAGGCCCCUUACACCAGGCGAAACCUGUGGUAGAACUCUUUAUGCUAUUAACGAUAAGAUGGUUAUGCUAGAAGAAAUGGUCGGUGAGAAGUCAAAACGUUCUUUUCCACGACAAUAUCUUUAUGAUAUUGUUUUUGGCGAAGAUGCAACACAGGAAGUUGUGUACGAAGGUACAACGAAAAAUUUAGUCCAAGAUGUUCUCAAUGGUUACAAUGCUACGGUCUUUGCGUAUGGAGCUACGGGAGCUGGAAAAACGCACACUAUGGUUGGAACCUCGUCCGAUCCAGGGAUCAUGGUUCGAGCUUUGAACGACAUUUUUCUAACGACCCAGAAACUAAUGAACAACGUAGAAUUUACUGUUACUAUGUCAUACGUAGAGAUAUACAAUGAGAACAUCCGCGAUCUGUUGAAUCCUACCACAGGAUAUUUGGAGUUGCGUGAGGAUUCUCGAGGUCGCAACGUUCAAGUUUCGGGUCUUACGGAAGUGUCUACUAAUUCGACCGAGGAAGUCAUGCAACUCCUUCACAAAGGCAAUAAAGCAAGAAUGGUAGAGCCGACGGCUGCAAACGAAACCUCUUCGAGGAGUCACGCUCUCCUUAGUGUCACAGUCAGACAAUCCUCUUCUCCCGUUAAAGAGUCCGGGCAACGUCUUCGCACGAAAUUGAAGCAGGGUAGACUCUUCAUGAUAGAUCUCGCUGGUUCGGAGAGAGCCAAACAAACUCAGAACAAAGGUAAACGUCUUCAAGAGGGUGCGCAUAUUAACAGAUCAUUAUUGGCACUGAGCAACUGCAUCAAGGCGUUAUCCGGUGGAGCGAGAUUCGUGAAUUAUCGUGACUCCAAAUUGACCAGAUUGCUUAAAGAAGCUCUCGGUGGUAACUGUCGUACCGUUAUGAUAGCUCAUGUUUCGCCAGCGAACGUGCACCGCGAUGAGAGUAAAAACACUUUGAAUUAUGCGGAUCGGGCGAACAAGAUUUCGAACAAGGUAGAAAGAAAUGUUCUUGACGUUAGUUAUCUUCACGUUGCCCAAUAUCAGGACAUAAUCAGUGAUCUGAAGAGCGAGAUAUCGCGUCUGCGUAAUAAAAUGAAGGAAGAUAGGCCUACGGAUAGAUACGAGGAGAAGGAGCAUGACGGUCAUGGUUCAGAUUUCAGAUCUUUGAGAGAGAAAAUUGUAUCCGCUUUUAAAGAACAAAUGCGCUUGAGGAAGAAACUUAUGGAACUGGAUAGUCAUCUCCUGGGAUUAAACAUCGCUGCGGAGCAACAGCAUUCGAUAAUCUCUCAGUGGGAAUCAAGGAACAAUAGGGUAUACGGGUCGAGUAGAGAUUCGGUAAAUCGUCGUCCUGGAACGGAUUAUCAAGUGGAAGAAGUCGAUGACAUAGGCAAGUGUAGGAUGUCUCAUUAUGGAAAUAAAAAAAGAAAACAAGAAAAAAAGAAAUCAGUACCUUUUAAAACGAAGAUUCAAAAUAUGUCGUUCUUAGAUCUUCUAGAGGAUAUUGAUUUCGAAGAUGAUUCAUUGGUACAGCAGGCUUGGGCGGAAUUGGCAGAGAUUUCGAAGGAACAGGAAAGGUACGUUGAAAUGCGCGCCGCUACGGAAAAGGAGCUAGAGGCUUGUAGGAAACGAAGUGCCGCGCUAGAAGACGAACUCCCAUCCCGUAUAAAUUCGGACGAAGAACGUGAGCUUUUAGCAUUGAUGUUAAGAGUCCACGAACUGGAAGCAGACAAAAUGAUGCUUCAGAGCGAGAGGCUCGUGAAGCAACACGAACUUCGAAGACGAGAGCUUCUUCUUCUUCGUUAUGAUCGGCAAAGGCAAAUCUCUGAUGAGAUAAUCACAAGACAGAGACGAAUAAUGGAGGAUGGACGUCUGACUCUGCCACCGGAUUUACAAAAUCUUUAUGCGCUCUAUCAACAAGAGAUACAAGCUGCUACGUAUGUAGACAGUAAUCUGGCAGAUCUGACAUUCUCAUCCCUGGCAUUUGGAGCUAAACUUCCACCUAUAUCUAGUAGAUUGAGUUAUGACACUUUUAACAACGACAGCAGAAUACCAAGCAGUUCUACAGAUUCUGAUUGGGAUCAAUCGCCCUUACCACCGAUUCAAGAACCACCCGAUGUGGAAAGAGUAAUGGGUCCCGUAGUACAGCCUUUAAUCUCUCCAGCAGUUCUCUUCCCACCGAUUCCAUCCUCAAACUCGAGAAAUCAGUAAGAAUAUAGUGGGUCGUAUGUUUUCCGAUUAGAAAACUCCGGCGUAUAGCCAGCGACGAUAGCAUGGAUUCUGUAAGAUUUUCACAAGGAAACAAUAUGCGAUAUAAUACAUUAAGAAGAACGGACGAACGAGAAACCCCGAGCUGAAAUCGAAGCUGAAUUUUUGAGACUUUCGACGUCUUUCACGCGCCGUAUUUUCAAAUUUACGGUGUUCCACGUGCUCAACAAUCGCCUCUUUGUCGUUUUGAUUGAUGAUUUGAUUACUGGUCGCUAUACGACUGCUUCUCAAUCUUCUACGAAGUAUUCUAGGAUCGUUUUGAGGAUCGAUGAUCUCACGGAAGAUACUAAAAGCACGAAAUCUUUCCCGAGGAUUCAUAUUCGGCGAAUACGCUUGUUCCCAUAUUGACAAUGUCCAAUCAUUAAAUAUCUCCGAUGAUUUUCUACGAUACUUGCUCUCCGUGUAACGCUUAUGAUUUCUUGAUAAUUUGUUCUUGAACUCGUCUUUUUUAUCAUCGUUCGUUGUCUAAGAAAUGAUUGUUGAUCGACCGUUUAACUUAACAAUUAUAAAAGAUGAUAUUUUUCAUGAAUAGUAAUUUAGAAACGGGUUGAACGAUUCUAAUAUAUAAAGCGACUAUUAAAAGGAGAUACUCUCACUUUUUCAACGGAGGAAGAUGUAACUAAUUUAAUAGAAUCUUUCUCGUGUUUGUCAUCACGUACUACUUUCAAUUGAGGUAAUUCGAUCGUCUUGUCUUUGGUCAUCGAUGUGUAUGCCGUCGCGUUGUCCCUGUUAUUCGAUGGAAUCAACCAUUGCUCUAAGGUCGAAUUUUCAAUAUUCCACAUAUUCAAUAGCAUAUCCCAAUCUUUUUUUCUGUCUUUCCAAUAUGUUAUGGUCUGACCGAAUAUCAAAUUGCCGACACAUAACGUACAACGACCGAAGGACUACACUAUCGAAGUAAAUCGAUUGCCAAUUAAAUUGGGCGAUAAUAUAGAAAUAAAAUGAUAGGUGGUUAUAUGAUUUGCAUAUAGAGACGUUAAGCCAAAAGCUUAUUUCCAAGAAAUAUUUGCAGAUCUUACCGAUUUCGGCCUUAUUUCCGCGUCGACCAUAUCAUAAUAACGAAACUUCUCCAUCUUAUUUACGAUUCCAUUUACAAUACUAUUGAAAUACAUUUUCAUUGCUUUUUGGCAUUUUCCAGUCAUAUACAUUGGAAAUGUUUGUUCCAAGUAUUGCAAAAAACUUGUCUCGAAAUUCUAAAGAUAAAAUAAAUAUUUAUAAUUUUACGAACAGAGUAUACGCAUUUACUGAUGAUACUAUUAGACAACUAAUGGUUAUUUAGAUAAUAGUCGAAUAUUCAUUAACAAAAUUAAUAACGCGCUCAAUAAUUUUGUAAAAAUGUCUUCGUGAGUCGUAUUAUAUAUUUAUAUAGUAAUAAACUAUUGAAUUGCAUUCUUAUGUAGCAAUAAUUAUUAUUAGUCACCAUAAUGACAUACUGUCAUAUCUUCUUUAUUUAAGCGCAUAUCUUUGUGAACCAUUGCGACAUAACCAACCAAACGAUCCAAUUGCUUUCGAUUUUUGUAAACAUCUAAUAUAAGGUAUCCUAUAGCCUCCAUAAUCAGUGUGAAUUUCGCGCAAAGCCGAAUGUUCACGCCAAGAGGAACAUGUGGAUUCAAGGUAUAAUACUUUAUAUACUGUGGAUGGGUUCUAAGAAAGCUAAAGAUCUUUUUUAUUUUUAAACAUAUAUCAUUUCAAUUGGUAAUAGUUUUGAAGAUAUUAGUUAUUAGACAAACCUUGUAAAAAAUAAAUUUCCAUAAUGCUGA
RNA transcript from Vespa velutina, 5176 nucleotides. It is a transcript of the gene named kinesin-like protein KIF19, with no coding region annotated. The transcript is spliced from 14 exons. The record is from RefSeq and is a predicted model, not a curated record. NCBI's taxonomy places the organism in Eukaryota, Metazoa, Arthropoda, Insecta, Hymenoptera, Vespidae.